GUUGGCUGUGGUGAUGCAUAUCUGUAAUCUCAGCAACUUGGGAGGCUGAGGCAGGAGGACCUCAAGUUUCAGGCCAGUCUUAACAAUUUAUCAAGGACCUAGCAAUUUAGUGAUAUCCUGUCUCAA
This 126-nucleotide small RNA is filed under the name Marmota monax (woodchuck). Lineage: Eukaryota; Metazoa; Chordata; Mammalia; Rodentia; Sciuridae. The record is from RNAcentral.